RNAcentral lists this ribosomal RNA (1691 nucleotides) under Salmonella enterica subsp. enterica. Its description in RNAcentral is "partial 23S ribosomal RNA". It matches the Rfam family "Bacterial large subunit ribosomal RNA", at positions 1 to 1637 of the family's 2925-position model. Lineage: Bacteria; Pseudomonadati; Pseudomonadota; Gammaproteobacteria; Enterobacterales; Enterobacteriaceae. The record is from RNAcentral.
GGGUUGUGAGGUUAAGCGACUAAGCGUACACGGUGGAUGCCCUGGCAGUCAGAGGCGAUGAAGGACGUGCUAAUCUGCGAUAAGCGCCGGUAAGGUGAUAUGAACCGUUAUAACCGGCGAUUUCCGAAUGGGGAAACCCAGUGUGAUUCGUCACACUAUCAUUAACUGAAUCCAUAGGUUAAUGAGGCGAACCGGGGGAACUGAAACAUCUAAGUACCCCGAGGAAAAGAAAUCAACCGAGAUUCCCCCAGUAGCGGCGAGCGAACGGGGAGGAGCCCAGAGCCUGAAUCAGCAUGUGUGUUAGUGGAAGCGUCUGGAAAGGCGCGCGAUACAGGGUGACAGCCCCGUACACAAAAAUGCACAUGCUGUGAGCUCGAUGAGUAGGGCGGGACACGUGGUAUCCUGUCUGAAUAUGGGGGGACCAUCCUCCAAGGCUAAAUACUCCUGACUGACCGAUAGUGAACCAGUACCGUGAGGGAAAGGCGAAAAGAACCCCGGCGAGGGGAGUGAAAAAGAACCUGAAACCGUGUACGUACAAGCAGUGGGAGCACAGGUUUACCUGUGUGACUGCGUACCUUUUGUAUAAUGGGUCAGCGACUUAUAUUCUGUAGCAAGGUUAACCGAAUAGGGGAGCCGGAGGGAAACCGAGUCUUAACCGGGCGUUAAGUUGCAGGGUAUAGACCCGAAACCCGGUGAUCUAGCCAUGGGCAGGUUGAAGGUUGGGUAACACUAACUGGAGGACCGAACCGACUAAUGUUGAAAAAUUAGCGGAUGACCUGUGGCUGGGGGUGAAAGGCCAAUCAAACCGGGAGAUAGCUGGUUCUCCCCGAAAGCUAUUUAGGUAGCGCCUCGUGAACUCAUCUCCGGGGGUAGAGCACUGUUUCGGCUAGGGGGCCAUCCCGGCUUACCAACCCGAUGCAAACUGCGAAUACCGGAGAAUGUUAUCACGGGAGACACACGGCGGGUGCUAACGUCCGUCGUGAAGAGGGAAACAACCCAGACCGCCAGCUAAGGUCCCAAAGUCAUGGUUAAGUGGGAAACGAUGUGGGAAGGCCCAGACAGCCAGGAUGUUGGCUUAGAAGCAGCCAUCAUUUAAAGAAAGCGUAAUAGCUCACUGGUCGAGUCGGCCUGCGCGGAAGAUGUAACGGGGCUAAACCAUGCACCGAAGCUGCGGCAGCGAACGUAUCACCCAAGACAACUUUACGGAGUUGACGAUUGACGGAGCGAAGCGACGUCAAAGCGUUCAUUAAAGUCGAGUUGGCUUAGGGAUACGUUCGUUGGGUAGGGGAGCGUUCUGUAAGCCUGCGAAGGUGGCCUGUGAGGGUUGCUGGAGGUAUCAGAAGUGCGAAUGCUGACAUAAGUAACGAUAAAGCGGGUGAAAAGCCCGCUCGCCGGAAGACCAAGGGUUCCUGUCCAACGUUAAUCGGGGCAGGGUGAGUCGACCCCUAAGGCGAGGCCGAAAGGCGUAGUCGAUGGGAAACGGGUUAAUAUUCCCGUACUUGGUGUUACUGCGAAGGGGGGACGGAGAAGGCUAUGUUGGCCGGGCGACGGUUGUCCCGGUUUAAGCGUGUAGGUGUGUGUUCCAGGUAAAUCCGGUUCACUUUAACACUGAGGCGUGACGACGAGGCACUACGGUGCUGAAGCAACAAAUGCCCUGCUUCCAGGAAAAGCCUCUAAGCAUCAGGUAACAC